CCAUAGCAGCAGCCGUCCCACCGCCGUAUAGUAGGCAUCCACCGACGCGCGUCUGCCAACGCGAACGCGUCGUCCGUCGACCCUCCCCACCCGUUCUCCUUUUUCUUGUCGUCACAGACAAGGAGGCGCUUGUAGUUCUUAGUGAGGCACGUCCGCCCACUAUUCCAUCAUUAAGAGUAGUCUUAGAUUAGUGCGCCUGUGCGUCAUCCGGUACCCCACCCCCUUUCCACGGCUCGACCACCCCCAAAAGGAAAAAAACCCGUUCCUGCUUCGUCACUAACUCACCGACGUGAAUACGCGCCCCAACACUUACCUCCCUUGCGUAAACUAGAAGGCGAAAAGAUGGUCCGCUAUGUGCAGCGUCCGUGGUUCUCGCCGCUUGGCUUCAUGGCGUCAAGCCCGACCGCCUACGCGCCAAUGAUGACCUGCAUCGCCCUCGCCAUCAUCUUCCCGUUCCGCUACCAAAUCUCCGAGUAUUUUGAGCGCCAGCGCGAUGGCGUGCACGUGGAGCUGCGCCGCAAAGCUGUCAAGUACUACGCUGAGAUGGAGCGGAUGCACCGUCGGCAGGCGCUGGUGAACCUGGAAAGCAUUCAGGACGACAACGCGCCGCACCGCCUCAGCGCGGUGCUGUCGGUGGAGUCAACUCAGGCCGGCCACCUAGACCAGGAGUACAACUACUGGUACGCCCACGAGCGCGACGCGAUCCGGGCAGAGAAGUUGAUGAUGGAGAUCCGCGAGCUAAAGGCGAAGAUGGCUUCUGACAGCGCGUGAGAGAGCGAGAGCGAGAGCGAGACGGGAAGCGCGAGGAGAGGCUUUGUUGAUGGCUCCUCGCCAUCCUUACUCUCCCUGUGGCCGUGUGGAGUGUGCGCAUGUUUAGCGUUGCAUCAUCUGUGACGCGCAUCUCGCGUGGCAAGGCCGCUGUUGUGGCGAUGCCGUAGCGAGCGACACGGCGCCCAAGGGCUUGCCUCACAGCCACUUUGAUUUCUUUCUCCUGCCUCGCUGGCUCGUUGGCUCCUCCUGCUCUUUGUGUGCUAUUAGUUGGUUCUUGUCAUCAUCGUCGUCGCCGUUUUUCUCUUCCCGCGCGCGUGGC
Molecule: unclassified non-coding RNA, 1090 nt
Filed under: Leishmania donovani
Lineage: Eukaryota; Euglenozoa; Kinetoplastea; Trypanosomatida; Trypanosomatidae
Description: gene:LdHU3.21.1460(CDS-product:hypothetical_prote in_conserved)
Source: RNAcentral